Long non-coding RNA from Chroicocephalus ridibundus (black-headed gull), 1109 nucleotides. RefSeq lists it as uncharacterized. The record is from RefSeq and is a predicted model, not a curated record. NCBI's taxonomy places the organism in Eukaryota, Metazoa, Chordata, Aves, Charadriiformes, Laridae. The transcript is spliced from 7 exons.
GUUUCUCUUUGUUCACUAGUGCUGAAGUGUGAUCAUACGUUCUUUAGGCUUGAUUUGAAGAUCAUUGAAGUCGAUUCAAACUGGUUUAUGUGGCAACAAAAGAAAUAGUCUUGAAAGCCACCGCAUGAAUCUGUGUCGUUCAAGGAAAAGAAGUUAAAUACGGCAGAUUUCACCCAUGGAGUCCCCUAAGUGCUGAAAAAUUGGUUUCUGGGCAUGCCAAGCUCCUUGGUCUUGGUACUGUAGAAAAAAUAGAAAAUAAGAUCAUGCAGUUGCACCAGGGUUCACCGUCUGGAUAUCCACAAACAUGCCUUGAUCAGCCACUCAAUAACAUUGUCUGGAGAAACCAAUACUGUUAUAGAGGAAGCAUUCAUUCUAAUUGGAAGUGGAGAGGACAGAGGCAAGGGAGACGUGCUGAAAGAGUAUUUUGCCUGGCUUACUUACUGCAAGUCGAAGCUGAAUGACGUCUUCUAGAGUGGCUUCACUCAUACCUGCCCUGAUGGUUCUUCCCUGUUGCACUCCAUCUGCUUGAAAGUCUGUGUUUCUGGCUCCACGUAGGUCUCCUCUGCAUCUCAUUUCCAUCAUUUUAUGAAGGAGAGAAAUUUUGUGAAAUACCUAUUGCUGGAAGUGUUUUAAGAGCAGCCAUGUUGAAAAACCAUUUCCAGUUGCUUCCAACAUGUUCUGGAUUCAACUCAUGAUCUUAAUGAUGAAGGACGCCACAUCCCAUUAACAGUCUUCUGAGCCAUACAGUUCUCCUGAGAGCCUGUUUCAUACCACAGUGAAUUCUGUCCUGUCUUUUGGCACAAUAAUAAAGGGAAGAGAAUGUCAUCCAGCAUCAGGGUGCCAGACCCUGGAGUCUGUCUGUUCCCAAAUGAGGAGGGUGAAGAAGUAGCUUGCUGGUCUCUGCAGAAUAUGGAGAACUUCUCCACAGAAGAUGGAAGGUCCGGGUUGACAAAUAUUGUCAAAGGGACUUAUGGUAUCUGCCAGCUGGAAAAGGAAGAGCUCAGUGGAAAAAAGGAGGUGAGCACAAAGAGGGACCUUGUGGAGACGAUAGCAGAGAAAUAUUUUCUUGAGCAUGAAACAGUGAACCAAGACUGAAUCCCAGCACCUUC